CUGCUUUUAAAAUGCAGGUUUGAAGAUAUUCUCCUUUCAAGGCUUUUUUUUCAUCUCUGUUUCUCACUAGGCUCUCUGAAUUGCUUUUUUUUGUUUAGUUUGAGAGUGAUUUUAUUAUUUCCUGAAAUGAAGCAUCCUUCUGAAUUAGUCAAGACCCAAAAUACCUUGGAAGUGCCUAUAACUGAGCUUGCAAAAAGGAGAAAGUGUUUGCUGAAGACAUGAGAGCUGACCUGGAGAGACCUCACUGGAACUUUCUGACUUUUGAAACCGUCCCAGUACAGGACUGGCCUGGUGUGAGGUGGAGGUGAGCU
RNAcentral lists this long non-coding RNA (311 nucleotides) under Parus major (Great Tit). RNAcentral describes it as "lncRNA (ENSPMJG00000010294.1)". Lineage: Eukaryota; Metazoa; Chordata; Aves; Passeriformes; Paridae. The record is from RNAcentral.